UGUUAUUUCUUGAACUGCUUUCAUAUAUGGGCAUGUUGAUUGUUUUGCAGAAUUUUAUUUUGCGGUCUGUUGGAAUAAUGCUGGUGUUCACUAUACCUCAGUUCAUCAUCUCCAUCUGUAUAUCAGCACUUGCCUGCAAAGCCACCUGCAACAUCCAUUCUACAGUGGUCAAUGUGGCACUAAACCAGGGAUACUAAGUCAUGGUGAGGAGAUCCUAGCAUCCAAAGGCUACAGAGAAUUAAAGUCUCAUAUUCUUGUUUUAGAUUUUAAAAAUAUCUGUUGUCCAUAUUUUAUAAUUAUAUGUGAAAUGGAUUUUAAUAUGCUUCUGCAUCAGACAUGGCCCAAUGUUUUGUAAUGUAUUGUUUAUGUCAUGUUUAAUAUGGACUAAAGAUUACAUUUGUUAACCAGGAUUCUUAAGUUUCUCCAGAAACUUGUAUUUUAGUUUGUUGU
Molecule: long non-coding RNA, 450 nt
Filed under: Sinocyclocheilus anshuiensis
Lineage: Eukaryota; Metazoa; Chordata; Actinopteri; Cypriniformes; Cyprinidae
Description: lncRNA (ENSSANG00000013998.1)
Source: RNAcentral